This 253-nucleotide ribosomal RNA is filed under the name uncultured bacterium. RNAcentral describes it as "partial 16S ribosomal RNA". It matches the Rfam family "Bacterial small subunit ribosomal RNA", at positions 524 to 776 of the family's 1533-position model. The record is from RNAcentral.
UACGGAGGGGGUUAGCGUUGUUCGGAAUUACUGGGCGUAAAGCGCACGUAGGCGGCGUGGUAAGUUGGGUGUGAAAUCCCUCGGCUCAACCGAGGAACUGCGCCCAAAACUACCAUGCUUGAGGAAGAUAGAGGUAAGCGGAACUUACGGUGGAGCGGUGAAAUGCGUUGAUAUCGUAAGGAACACCUGUGGCGAAAGCGGCUUACUGGGUCUUUUCUGACGCUGAUGCACGAAAGCCAGGGGAGCAAACGGG